UUUAACACACACAAACACACAUUUUCGUGUGUUCUAGAAACGGGCAGAGCUCCAUAGGAGCCAAAACCCUAAUCAUGAAAGAUCAUCAAAUUGAAAGGCUAAAUAAAGCUUAAAUUCACAACCGAGCAUGGAUUAAUGAUCACCUUCACAAGGGGAUCGUAAGUAUAGGGAUCAUGUCAAGAUGGAUGGAAGCAUGGAAGGCUAAGGGGUCAAAAGGAGGCGAGGAAACAAAUGCGAAUACGGACACUUAAGGUUAGUCAGAUAUUCAUGAUGGACAAGUGAACGAGGGUCGAGUUGAAGAUCAUGGAUUGUAUGGGAAAACGGUCACGUUGUUUGUAAUUAUUUGUUACCAUAGUUACAUUAAAUAAAUGAUGAAUGAUGUAUUUAUGUUAAAAGGGUUGACAUAAACGGUAUUCAAGUAUGUUAGAGUAGUUAAAAGAAAGAAAUUUUAGGGUUCAUUUUCCGCUGA
Long non-coding RNA from Helianthus annuus (common sunflower), 469 nucleotides. RefSeq lists it as uncharacterized. Lineage: Eukaryota; Viridiplantae; Streptophyta; Magnoliopsida; Asterales; Asteraceae. The transcript is spliced from 3 exons. The record is from RefSeq and is a predicted model, not a curated record.